RNAcentral lists this small RNA (550 nucleotides) under Pan troglodytes (chimpanzee). RNAcentral describes it as "retained intron". Lineage: Eukaryota; Metazoa; Chordata; Mammalia; Primates; Hominidae. The record is from RNAcentral.
AUUGUAAACUGGUUCAGAAAUCUCUAGCUCGGAUGUUGCUGAAUGACUUCCUUAAUGACCAGAAUAGAGAUAAAAAUAGUAUCUAUAGUGGCCUGGAAGCCUUUGGGGAUGUUAAAUUAGAAGACACCUACUUUGAUAGAGAUGUGGAGAAGGCAUUUAUGAAGGCUAGCUCUGAACUCUUCAGUCAGAAAACAAAGGCAUCUUUACUUGUAUCAAAUCAAAAUGGAAAUAUGUACACAUCUUCAGUAUAUGGUUCCCUUGCAUCUGUUCUAGCACAGUAAGUAUAAAUUUCACCUACUACUUAACUCCCCUUAUUUGGGAGAUGUUAGAUUUCUAAGACCAAAUCUGGUGUCAAGCAUGUUGGUGGUAGAUCACAGAAAAUUUUAUCUUGAUGCUUUCUAAUCUGCUAUUGUCCAUUGACUUGAAAGAUGUAUGGGUUGAGGCUACUUCCAGAAGUAUUUGUUAAUUUCAUACUGGCUUUCCUGGCUUCUGUUUUCAUGGUUUUUUAAUUCUUGACCUACAGUUGAACCAUAAAUACCUGGUUGAUGAA